Molecule: ribosomal RNA, 1556 nt
Filed under: Salmonella enterica subsp. enterica serovar Muenster str. 0315
Lineage: Bacteria; Pseudomonadati; Pseudomonadota; Gammaproteobacteria; Enterobacterales; Enterobacteriaceae
Also listed under: 1 other name
Description: bacterial SSU rRNA
Rfam family: Bacterial small subunit ribosomal RNA
Source: RNAcentral
UUAAAUUGAAGAGUUUGAUCAUGGCUCAGAUUGAACGCUGGCGGCAGGCCUAACACAUGCAAGUCGAACGGUAACAGGAAGCAGCUUGCUGCUUUGCUGACGAGUGGCGGACGGGUGAGUAAUGUCUGGGAAACUGCCUGAUGGAGGGGGAUAACUACUGGAAACGGUGGCUAAUACCGCAUAAUGUCGCAAGACCAAAGAGGGGGACCUUCGGGCCUCUUGCCAUCAGAUGUGCCCAGAUGGGAUUAGCUUGUUGGUGAGGUAACGGCUCACCAAGGCGACGAUCCCUAGCUGGUCUGAGAGGAUGACCAGCCACACUGGAACUGAGACACGGUCCAGACUCCUACGGGAGGCAGCAGUGGGGAAUAUUGCACAAUGGGCGCAAGCCUGAUGCAGCCAUGCCGCGUGUAUGAAGAAGGCCUUCGGGUUGUAAAGUACUUUCAGCGGGGAGGAAGGUGUUGUGGUUAAUAACCGCAGCAAUUGACGUUACCCGCAGAAGAAGCACCGGCUAACUCCGUGCCAGCAGCCGCGGUAAUACGGAGGGUGCAAGCGUUAAUCGGAAUUACUGGGCGUAAAGCGCACGCAGGCGGUCUGUCAAGUCGGAUGUGAAAUCCCCGGGCUCAACCUGGGAACUGCAUUCGAAACUGGCAGGCUUGAGUCUUGUAGAGGGGGGUAGAAUUCCAGGUGUAGCGGUGAAAUGCGUAGAGAUCUGGAGGAAUACCGGUGGCGAAGGCGGCCCCCUGGACAAAGACUGACGCUCAGGUGCGAAAGCGUGGGGAGCAAACAGGAUUAGAUACCCUGGUAGUCCACGCCGUAAACGAUGUCUACUUGGAGGUUGUGCCCUUGAGGCGUGGCUUCCGGAGCUAACGCGUUAAGUAGACCGCCUGGGGAGUACGGCCGCAAGGUUAAAACUCAAAUGAAUUGACGGGGGCCCGCACAAGCGGUGGAGCAUGUGGUUUAAUUCGAUGCAACGCGAAGAACCUUACCUGGUCUUGACAUCCACAGAACUUUCCAGAGAUGGAUUGGUGCCUUCGGGAACUGUGAGACAGGUGCUGCAUGGCUGUCGUCAGCUCGUGUUGUGAAAUGUUGGGUUAAGUCCCGCAACGAGCGCAACCCUUAUCCUUUGUUGCCAGCGGUCCGGCCGGGAACUCAAAGGAGACUGCCAGUGAUAAACUGGAGGAAGGUGGGGAUGACGUCAAGUCAUCAUGGCCCUUACGACCAGGGCUACACACGUGCUACAAUGGCGCAUACAAAGAGAAGCGACCUCGCGAGAGCAAGCGGACCUCAUAAAGUGCGUCGUAGUCCGGAUUGGAGUCUGCAACUCGACUCCAUGAAGUCGGAAUCGCUAGUAAUCGUGGAUCAGAAUGCCACGGUGAAUACGUUCCCGGGCCUUGUACACACCGCCCGUCACACCAUGGGAGUGGGUUGCAAAAGAAGUAGGUAGCUUAACCUUCGGGAGGGCGCUUACCACUUUGUGAUUCAUGACUGGGGUGAAGUCGUAACAAGGUAACCGUAGGGGAACCUGCGGUUGGAUCACCUCCUUACCUGAAAGAAGC